Long non-coding RNA from Macaca mulatta (Rhesus monkey), 611 nucleotides. RefSeq lists it as uncharacterized. The record is from RefSeq and is a predicted model, not a curated record. NCBI's taxonomy places the organism in Eukaryota, Metazoa, Chordata, Mammalia, Primates, Cercopithecidae.
CUCACCUCAGGUGAUCCGCCUGCCUUGGCCUCCCAAUGUGUUGGGAUUACAGACGUGAGCCACCAUGCCUGGCGUUAAUAACUUUGUAAAAUGACAAUGACUGAAAACCAUUUCUAGCCUCUGCGUCGGGGCCACCAUGCCCACUGUGGUUCAAAACUCAGGCCUCUGAAUUGUUUUUCUGUAUCCUCUUCCCAUGCCACACUGGCGGCCUGAGAGAGUUUCAGUGUCUUGGCGAACAGCGAUUUGAAGCGGUAUCAGCGUUUGGAACGAAACCGGAGUCUUAAGGCCAGUCGGUUUUACCACUGAUUAACCAUGUCGCUCCUCCCUCUCUGAACCUUGGCUUUCUCAUCACUGAAAGAAGAGGUUUGGACAAGAUGAGAAAGAGAAUUGGAAAAGCACAGUCAUUUUUGAGCACCAAGAUAAAGAAGAUGGCCACAUUAAAACUUCUGCAAAAACCCCACAGAGGACCUAGUCCCUUAUGUUACUUAAUGUUCCUCAUAUAACAAUUUACGUGAAAAAAAUCCUCCUAAAAGUGCCUGAUAAAUAUGUCCCUCCAGAAGAUGUAAUAUGCGUCAUUUCAUAAAAGGCAGAAUAAACUUUCUGACACCUCA